UUAACCGAUAGCGCAUAGUACCGUGAGGGAAAGGUGAAAAGAACCCCUGGAGGGGAGUGAAAUAGAACCUGAAAUUGUGUGCUUACAAGCGGUCAGAGCCCAUUUGGGUGAUGGCGUGCCUUUUGGAGAAUGAUCCUGCGAGUUACGUUAAACGGCGAGGUUAAGUAUAACGGAGCCGAAGGGAAACCAAGUCUUAAUAGGGCGAUAUAGUCGUUUGGCGUAGACGCGAAACCUGGUGAUCUAAACCUGUCCAGGAUGAAGCUGUGGUAAGACACAGUGGAGGUCCUAACCCACCGCCGUUGAAAAGUUGGGGGAUGAGGUAGGUUUAGGGGUGAAAAGCCAAUCGAACCAGGAGAUAGCUCGUUCUCUCCGAAAUGCAUCUAGGUGCAGCCUUGAGUGUUCAAUUAUGGGGGUAGAGCACUGAAUGAUCUAGGGGGCAUAUUGCUUACUGAAAUCAAUCAAACUCCAAAUACCAUAAUUUAUAGCUCAGGAGUGAGACCAUGGGAGUUAACUUCCAUUGUCAAAAGGGAAACAACCCAGACCACCAGCUAAGGUCCCUAAUUAUAACUAAGUGGGAAAGGAGGUGGAGAUUCACAAACAACUAGGAGGUUGGCUUAGAAGCAGCCAUACCUUUAAAGAGUGCGUAAUAGCUCACUAGUCGAGAGUCUCUGCGCCGACAAUGUAACGGGGCUAAGUUAUAAACCGAAGCUGUGGAAUCCUUAUGGAUUGGUAGGAGAGCGUUCUGUAGGCUGUUGAAGAAGAAGGGUAACCAACUUUGGAGGUAUCAGAAGUGAGAAUGCAGGAAUAAGUAGCGAGAAAGGGGGCGAGAAUCCCCCUCGCCGGAAGACCAAGGUUUUCAGGGUAAAGCUUGUCUUCCCUGAGUAAGCCGGGACCUAAGCCCAGGCUAUAAUGCGUAGGCGAAUGGAAAACAGAUUAAUAUUUCUGUGCCAGUCAUUUAUUGUGAUGGAGGGACGCAGAAGGGUAUGUGCGCGGACGAUCGGUUGUGUCCGUAGAAGUAUGUAGGGUGACUUAGUAGGUAAAUCCAUUAAGUUAUAUCUGAGGUAUGAUAUACAGUCGUAAGAUGAAUGUACAAAUCCCACGCUGCCAAGAAAAACUUCUAACGUUAAUAUAUGACUGCCCGUACUGUAAACCGACACAGGUGGUCAGGAUGAGAAAUCUAAGGCGGACAGGCUAACUCUCGUUAAGGAACUCUGCAAAAUAACCUCGUAACUUCGGGAGAAGAGGAGCCCUUGUGUGUUAGUAUACAUGCGAUACAAAGCGCACGAGGGUCGCAGUGAAGAGGCUCAAGCAACUGUUUAACAAAAACACAGGUCUAUGCUAAGCUGUAAGGCGAUGUAUAUGGGCUGACACCUGCCCAGUGCUGGAAGGUUAAGAGGAGGAGUGAGAGCUCCGAAUUGAAGCCCCAGUGAACGGCGGCCGUAACUAUAACGGUCCUAAGGUAGCGAAAUUCCUUGUCGGGUAAGUUCCGACCUGCACGAAUGGUGUAAUGAUUUGAGCGCUGUCUUGACGGGAGGCCUGGUGAAAUUGUAUUACCGGUGAAGAUACCGGUUACCUACAGUAGGACGGAAAGACCCCAUGGAGCUUUACUGUAGCUUGGUAUUGGGUUUUGGCAUUGCAUGUAUAGGAUAGUUGGGAGACUAUGAUGGUAUGGCGCUAGCUGUAUCGGAGUCAUCGGUGGAAUACCAACCAUUCAAUGCUGAAAUUCUAAUCUGUGGUUUGAAGCCACGGAGACAGU
This 1756-nucleotide ribosomal RNA is filed under the name Fusobacterium sp. HMSC065F01. RNAcentral describes it as "bacterial LSU rRNA". It matches the Rfam family "Bacterial large subunit ribosomal RNA", at positions 480 to 2255 of the family's 2925-position model. Lineage: Bacteria; Fusobacteriati; Fusobacteriota; Fusobacteriia; Fusobacteriales; Fusobacteriaceae. The record is from RNAcentral.